RNAcentral lists this ribosomal RNA (104 nucleotides) under bovine gut metagenome. The record is from RNAcentral.
GGUGGCUAUAGCUCCGGGGUACCACCUCUUCCCAUAUCGAACAGAGAAGUUAAGCCCGGAAGCGCCGAUGGUACUGGGCCAAAACCGGGAGAGUAGGUGCCGCC